AUUGAACGCUGGCGGCAGGCUUAACACAUGCAAGUCGAACGAGUGGCGGACGGGUGAGUAAUGCCUGGGAAUCUAGCUUAUGGAGGGGGAUAACUACGGGAAACUGUAGCUAAUACCGCGUACCAUAGGAUGAGCCCAAAUGGGAUUAGGUAGUUGGUGGGGUAAAGGCUCACCAAGCCGACGAUCCCUAGCUGGUCUGAGAGGAUGACCAGCCACACUGGAACUGAGACACGGUCCAGACUCCUACGGGAGGCAGCAGUGGGGAAUAUUGCGCAAUGGGCGCAACCCUGAUGCAGCCAUGCCGCGUGUAUGAAGAAGGCCUUCGGGUUGUAAAGUUCUUUCGGUGGCGAGGCGUUAACGACAGAAGAAGCACCGGCUAACUCCGUGCCAGCAGCCGCGGUAAUAC
Molecule: ribosomal RNA, 406 nt
Filed under: uncultured bacterium
Lineage: Bacteria
Description: partial 16S ribosomal RNA
Rfam family: Bacterial small subunit ribosomal RNA
Source: RNAcentral